GACGGAGGAGGCUAGCGUUGCUCGGAAUCACUGGGCGUAAAGCGCGCGUAGGCGGCGCAUCAAGUUGGGGGUGAAAGCCCGGAGCUCAACUCCGGAAUUGCCUCCAAGACUGGUGCGCUAGAGUCCGGUAGAGGGUGGUGGAAUUCCCAGUGUAGAGGUGAAAUUCGUAGAUAUUGGGAAGAACACCAGUGGCGAAGGCGACCACCUGGUCCGGUACUGACGCUGUGGCGCGAAAGCGUGGGGAGCAAACAGG
RNAcentral lists this ribosomal RNA (253 nucleotides) under uncultured bacterium. Its description in RNAcentral is "partial 16S ribosomal RNA". It matches the Rfam family "Bacterial small subunit ribosomal RNA", at positions 524 to 776 of the family's 1533-position model. The record is from RNAcentral.